UUGGCUUCCCUUGGUGUGUCGAUAGAGGUCUGGAGGAACUGGGAUCAGCUGCCCGACGGAGCCUCCGGUGUGCCUGCCUCCCUGAAGGACCCCUUUGUGAAUGUGGAGAGGAAACAUGUUCCAUGCAGAUAGCAGAUUGGCAACGUCCCUGCUUCUUCUGAAGGCAGCAUGGUCUACAUGGAAGUCGAAUGAGAAUUCCCAGCAGAAUUUGAAGUAAAUCCUUAUUGCUGAAGAUUGACACAUACUUUGGACAAAGAACUUGGAUCUCACCUGGAAACCUCUAUCUUAAGGACUAGUUCUUGGUGCUGGAAGGUG
Long non-coding RNA from Mesocricetus auratus (golden hamster), 315 nucleotides. RefSeq lists it as uncharacterized. NCBI's taxonomy places the organism in Eukaryota, Metazoa, Chordata, Mammalia, Rodentia, Cricetidae. The record is from RefSeq and is a predicted model, not a curated record. The transcript is spliced from 3 exons.